UAGAGUUAGAUCCUGCCUUAUAUUGAACGCUGGCGGCAUGCCUUACACAUGCAAGUCGAACGGCAGCACGGGUGCUUGCACCUGGUGGCGAGUGGCCAACGGGUGAGUAAUACAUCGGAACGUACCUUAUCGUGGGGGAUAACGCAGCGAAAGUUGCGCUAAUACCGCAUACGCCCUGAGGGGGAAAGCGGGGGACCGUAAGGCCUCGCGCGAUUAGAGCGGCCGAUGUCUGAUUAGCUUGUUGGAGAGGUAAAAGCUCACCAAGGCGAUGAUCAGUAGCUGGUCGGAGAGGACGAUCAGCCACACUGGGACUGAGACACGGACCAGACUCCUACGUGGAGGCAGCAGAGGGGAAUCUUGGACAAUGGGGGCAACCCUGACCCACCGAUGCCGC
This 394-nucleotide ribosomal RNA is filed under the name uncultured bacterium. RNAcentral's name for it is "bacterial SSU rRNA". It matches the Rfam family "Bacterial small subunit ribosomal RNA", at positions 1 to 400 of the family's 1533-position model. The record is from RNAcentral.